Molecule: ribosomal RNA, 443 nt
Filed under: uncultured bacterium
Lineage: Bacteria
Description: partial 16S ribosomal RNA
Rfam family: Bacterial small subunit ribosomal RNA
Source: RNAcentral
CCUACGGGUGGCAGCAGUGGGGAAUAUUGCACAAUGGGCGAAAGCCUGAUGCAGCAACGCCGCGUGCAGGAAGAAGGGUUUCGGCUCGUAAACUUCUAUCAACAGGGACGAAAGAAAUGACGGUACCUGAAUAAGAAGCCCCGGCUAACUACGUGCCAGCAGCCGCGGUAAUACGUAGGGGGCAAGCGUUAUCCGGAUUUACUGGGUGUAAAGGGUGAGUAGGCGGCAUGGUAAGGCAGAUGUGAAAGGCUUGGGCUUAACCCGGGGAUUGCAUUUGAAACUCUCAGGCUAGAGUACAGGAGAGGAAAGCGGAAUUCCUGGUGUAGCGGUGAAAUGCAUAGAUAUUAGGCAGAACACCGGUGGCGAAGGCAGCUUUCUGGACUGAAACUGACGCUGAGGCACGAAAGCGUGGGGAGCGAACAGGAUUAGAUACCCCAGUAGUC